Long non-coding RNA from Zonotrichia leucophrys gambelii, 351 nucleotides. RefSeq lists it as uncharacterized. Lineage: Eukaryota; Metazoa; Chordata; Aves; Passeriformes; Passerellidae. The record is from RefSeq and is a predicted model, not a curated record. The transcript is spliced from 3 exons.
GUGGUGACAGGUCAACCAUGUGGCCCCAAAGUGGACAUAUGGUCUUUGGGAAUCGUGGGCAUCGAAAUGGUGGAACGAGAAGUUCCUUCCUGGAAUGCAACUCCUGUCUUGCCUCAACUCCUGAUAGCCACAGGAGGAAGACAAAAGCUGCAGCAGCCCAACCUAUUUUCAUCUUGCCUGCGUGACUUCCUGAGCUGCUGCCUGCAGAGAGACGAGGCGCGGCGCUGGUCUGCCAAGGAGCUCCUGCAGCAUCCAUUUGUAACAUCAGCCGAGGCUGCAUCCACCCUGGCACCACUCAUCAUCUCAGUGAAGAGGAGGAUGGAGAAGCAAACAGUGCUAUAAUCACAUCAG